CAGUCGCCGCGGUGAUACGAAGGUCCCGAGCGUUGUUCGGAAUCACUGGGCGUAAAGGGCUCGCAGGCGGUUUCUUAAGGCUGAUGUGAAAGCCCCCGGCUCAACCGGGGAGGGUCAUUGGAAACUGGGAAACUUGAGUGCAGAAGAGGAGAGUGGAAUUCCACGUGUAGCGGUGAAAUGCGUAGAGAUGUGGAGGAACACCAGUGGCGAAGGCGACUCUCUGGUCUGUAACUGACGCUGAGGAGCGAAAGCGUGGGGAGCGAACAGGAUUAGAUACCCGAGUAGUCCCUGUCUCUUAUAC
This 301-nucleotide ribosomal RNA is filed under the name uncultured bacterium. RNAcentral's name for it is "partial 16S ribosomal RNA". It matches the Rfam family "Bacterial small subunit ribosomal RNA", at positions 509 to 807 of the family's 1533-position model. The record is from RNAcentral.